GUUCUGAAAAAGAAUUUUGUGAAUGUUUAGGAUAAUACUAGCAUAUGACCUUAAAGCUGUUUGCAUAUGCACUAAAACUAGCAAGAAUUUCAUUUAGAAUUAAUUGUCCUUAAGUUUUGAAAUUGAGUUGAGUUUAUACAUGUCCUAUGUGAACAGAACUGCACUUGGCAGCUUUAUACAAUGCAAGUUCUGUUUUUAAAUCCAGCUGAUGCCUUUCUUUUUUAAAACGUAAAGGAAUGGACCUUGGAUAAAUGUUUUCAAUGAGAACACAUGGGCUAAAAUGUUUGUUUUAUCUUAAAGUCCAAGAAACCCAAGUAGGAUGGAAAUUGAGGAGGUAGAUGAAGAGAUAUCAGUCAACCCCUACGAGACAGCCUUUGAUCCCUAUUCCUCCGCCCCAUCCCAAGAUCCAGAAGGUAGAGGAAAUCUCAAGAAGAUUCAUCUCAAGGAAAUCUCAGAUUCGGCCUGCCUUUUUCUGUCCAGGCAUGAAGAUGCAUCUCUCUGGUGGCUGUCCUGAUGAAGCUUGUGUGUGUGAGAAGCUUUGGUUGAGCGUAAUGUCCAGAGCAGCUUAAAAAUACACAAAAGUCUUUUUCUAUCAAUGUUCCAGUUUUCUGACUGGAUUCACCAUCCCAGCCUAGGAGAGCAUUCUGUUCAAGACUUGCUAAAGAAACAGCCUUUGACCUCUGACCUGUGCUUAAAGGUGGACAGAGAUUAAGAGGUUUGCAUGCUCAGUCAGUAGAGCUUGAGGAAUAUUUUUUGUUUAGAGUUACAGCAUUUGAGCUCUUAAAAUCAAACUCUCACACGGACUGAAAAGCCUCCAGAGUUCUUGAGUCUAAAAGUGGCUGUAACUCGUCACUAUGUAGUGAAACUUCACACCAGAGUCGAAACAUCUGCGAUACCUCACUGUUGUUUCAGGGCGACUGCAUAAGAUGGUUAUGAAAUAGUCUGAUACUUUAAAAUGGACGCUUGGUGCCUUUAAAUAAUUCAGGAAUGUGAAUCAGUGCCGCUCGACAGAAUUUGAUUAUUUUUAUCUGAAAUGUUUGUUUCAGUUCAUGUGUAGCAGUCAAACAAAUUGUUUUUCUAACAUGAGUUAAAAUGUAAAUGUUGGAUUUUUUUCUGAGUGCACAAAUAAAAAGCUUAUUUCCUUAAUGAAUUGUUCGUUUCAUUCAGAAAUAUGUUACAAUAUUACACCAGAUGUAUGUUUCACAAAUUAAGUUUGAGAGGGUUUGUAUAUUUUGUGCUUCAUUGUUUACUGAAAGAUGUUCAUUAUAUGCUGCAUAUUUAACACUAUUUUAUCUCUGACGACUGAUAAAUGUCACCAUGUCCUAAACUGUGCUUUCAAUAAAAGUAACAUGAUCAUAAAUGGUGUCUGAAAGAAAUAGACAUUUCAGCUGUUUUCAUAUCCAUAUGAUCUCCUGAUCAGUAACAGAUGUCAAUGAUAUGAACGUCAAAUAUAUAAUGUGAAUGUUAAUAAAGUCUCUGAACUCAUGGGAUC
Long non-coding RNA from Cyprinus carpio carpio, 1492 nucleotides. The record is from Ensembl. NCBI's taxonomy places the organism in Eukaryota, Metazoa, Chordata, Actinopteri, Cypriniformes, Cyprinidae.